AGCCUAAAAAAGCUGUUUUGACCGAUAGUGAACAAGUACCGUGAGGGAAAGGUGAAAUAGAACCCCAACUGGGGAUUGAAAUAGAAACUGAAACCUGACAAUUACAAACAGUCGAAGUCUGGGGUGUCCCCCCCUUUUAUUUAUGAAAGGGGGAGACACCUGAUAACGGCGUACCUUUUGCAUAAUGGGUCAGCGAGAAAGUCUAUGUGGCUUGCUUAAGCCGUUAGGUGGAGGCCUAGUAAACGCGAGUCUGAAAAGGGCGUA
RNAcentral lists this ribosomal RNA (264 nucleotides) under Sphingobacteriaceae bacterium. RNAcentral's name for it is "partial 23S ribosomal RNA". It matches the Rfam family "Bacterial large subunit ribosomal RNA", at positions 463 to 696 of the family's 2925-position model. The record is from RNAcentral. Lineage: Bacteria; Pseudomonadati; Bacteroidota; Sphingobacteriia; Sphingobacteriales; Sphingobacteriaceae.